Mus spicilegus (steppe mouse) is the source of this 1981-nucleotide long non-coding RNA. NCBI's taxonomy places the organism in Eukaryota, Metazoa, Chordata, Mammalia, Rodentia, Muridae. The record is from Ensembl.
CUGACAUUGCCCAGCAAGGCAGUCUAAGCAAACAGAGUGGCAAUGACCUUGUAAUGACACUGUUUACAACACACUUGCCAAGAAGGCGAGGAGGCCAUCAUCCGGGGACUACUGCAUCAUCAAAAAAACCACCUGCUCAGCGCCAACUCAGAACCACUCCCUCUCCUCUCAAAGUCCACGUGCUAAUGGAAUUUGAAAGGUCUCCCAGGAGAAUGGCAAAACAUGAUAAGUCUCUGCGGCCUUCUUCCAUCACGUGACAGAAAAUUUCAGAUGGAGAGGAGGCGGGAGGAUGAGAUAGAGGCACCAGUGGAGGAAGAGGCUAGAUAAUGCUCCAAGUGCCACCACAAUAGCUCAUGCCAAGAGGGGAGAAGACCUCUGGACUACAGCUAAAGGUCUGAUCAGGAAUUUAAUCCUCAGAUCAGUAACAUUCUUUGCAAAGUGGCUUUCGCAUGAAGUCCCACCCCUACCUGAGGAGGCUGCUGAGGAAGACGUGGUCCCUGCAAUGCAACCUCUGCUCCAGCUUGUUGCUGUUGUUUCUAAUAUAGAGUCUAUGAAGUUGGGAGGGAAAAGGAUGCGGGAGAUGGAGAAGGUAGGGGGAAGAGAAGCAGUAGACUGGACCAGAAUUCAUUUUAUGCCUGUAUAAAAACCUCAGACAUUAAGAAUUUUAUCAUUUGGACUAUGGUCAGGCCAGACCAUCUAAAAAUAGUUUUUGUGACAAACAUCAGAACAGCCUCACCUGUGUCUGCCAGGGGACCUUCUCUACCGGCCUUGUCUCACUGUCUGUCCGGAACCCUCCUCUGCUGAGGUCGUUACUGGUUAUAUUUGAGACCUGUGGCUCAGGCAUCAAGGAACCAAGAAACAAAACUUACGCCAACCAUUGCUCUACCACAGCUUGCUCCCUUUGACCACUGUAGGACAAUUCCCACAAACACAAGAUUAAACUUACUUGGGCAGAAUCUCUAGGUUUGGAAUAGGGAUCUAAAGGUAAACUAAUCAGAUGCCUCUUGAUAGAAUUGCUUUUGCAGCAUAAAUUUUCACUGCUGUUGAUGGAACCCACUGCCUUCCUUCCAAAGGAAAAUGUUCUGUACACAAAGAAUUGGUCAAGAAUAAUUUCCUUAGGCUAGAAAGAGGCUUAGCCAUUGAAGGCUGCUCUUCCAGGGGACACAGUUUUGAUUGCCCACACCCACGUGGCUGCUCAGAACUGGCUGUAACUCCAGGUCUAGGUGAUCUGGUGGCCUCUUUUGGCAAGGACCAGGCAUGCACAUGGCAUAUAGUCAUGCAUGCAGGCAGAACACCCAUAUACAUAAAAUAAUUUUCUUAAUUAAAUCAUAUUUCUCUCUUAAGGUAAAUCUGACUGUCUGCAAUUUACAUCUAGGGGCCUUAGAUUGGCUCCUGGGAUCAUAUUGGAUGCAAAACUAGACCCUCUUUUGGAAGAGAUGCUAUGCUGUGAAGCCCACAGCAGAGCCGAAGGUCAGUAGACAGGGAGACAAGCUCGUUGUUAGCACACAGUCUGAUCUGAGAAAGCAUGGAAGAAGGUCAUUGGGGUGAUAGAUACAAAGACAGCGUCAUUCUGAAACGGGCGAUUCUAACCAGAAUCUUUUCUUUAAAUCACAAUGGUCCCGAGAGAACCAGGAAAGUGGUGAGUGCCUGCGUUUCAUGCUCUCUAGCCGUCUUUGAACUUCUAUCAGGGAACACACUUUAAUGUGGAGAACCCAUGGAAGACAAGAGAUUGCAGACGGAGAGAUCCAGCUCUGGGCCGUUUCAAGAGCUCACUUUGUAGGUGAAAAGAAGACCAAAGAGAAAUGCUACAACAGUCACUUUUCUUUGGCUUCAAAGGAAAGCAAAGACGGGCUAUCUUUUUAAAUACCUUUUUCUAUUAUUAUUAGAAGGAGAUUGAUCGUUUACAUCUUCUCUUUGACUUUUGUACAUUUAACUGGUGCCAUUCCUAUCCUAGUUUCAUUUUCUGUUGAUGCAAUAAAAU